This 484-nucleotide ribosomal RNA is filed under the name uncultured bacterium. Its description in RNAcentral is "partial 16S ribosomal RNA". It matches the Rfam family "Bacterial small subunit ribosomal RNA", at positions 30 to 507 of the family's 1533-position model. The record is from RNAcentral.
AUUGAACGCUGGCGGCAGGCCUAACACAUGCAAGUCGAGCGGAUGAAGGGAGCUUGCUCCUGGAUUCAGCGGCGGACGGGUGAGUAAUGCCUAGGAAUCUGCCUGGUAGUGGGGGAUAACGUCCGGAAACGGGCGCUAAUACCGCAUACGUCCUGAGGGAGAAAGUGGGGGAUCUUCGGACCUCACGCUAUCAGAUGAGCCUAGGUCGGAUUAGCUAGUUGGUGGGGUAAAGGCCUACCAAGGCGACGAUCCGUAACUGGUCUGAGAGGAUGAUCAGUCACACUGGAACUGAGACACGGUCCAGACUCCUACGGGAGGCAGCAGUGGGGAAUAUUGGACAAUGGGCGAAAGCCUGAACCAGCCAUGCCGCGUGUGUGAAGAAGGUCUUCGGAUUGUAAAGCACUUUAAGUUGGGAGGAAGGGCAGUAAGUUAAUACCUUGCUGUUUUGACGUUACAAACAGAAUAAGCACCGGCUAACUUCGUG